RNAcentral lists this unclassified non-coding RNA (21 nucleotides) under Mus musculus (house mouse). RNAcentral describes it as "oocyte_clustered_small_RNA463". The record is from RNAcentral. Lineage: Eukaryota; Metazoa; Chordata; Mammalia; Rodentia; Muridae.
CAUCCUGGCUGAGCUCUCCCG